Molecule: long non-coding RNA, 3374 nt
Filed under: Macaca mulatta (Rhesus monkey)
Lineage: Eukaryota; Metazoa; Chordata; Mammalia; Primates; Cercopithecidae
Description: lncRNA (ENSMMUG00000057474.1)
Source: RNAcentral
UGGGCACCAGGCACAGUGGGGAUUGGAUAAUCGGGGCCCACCCUCAGGCCUGGAGGCUGCGAGCCCCUGUGCAGGGUCAUUUCCUGCGAGGGGAGAGCCCGAAGGAACAGGUGCGACGGGAACCCAACAGCUGGUGUCUCAGAGAAAUCUGAAAUUAAUUCAGAGGCGAAGUCAGCCACGCUGGGAAGGGGGCCUUGCUGGCCUGCACCGUGGAUGGUUCCCCGGUCUCUGAAGAUGGCCAGUUCCCCAGGGUGGUCUGUCUGCACCGCCUCCAACUCUCAGGAAGCCUCGUUUGGAGCUGCCAGGAAAACCUCUGGCUCUGGGAGGCCCAGAAACGAAUGAGAGCGUCUCAGGAGCGCUGGGCUGGUGCCGGCUUCGCCAGCCACGCCACGAAGCCAGGUGGGGAGACAGACCCACCAGCCACAGCUGUCACUGGGCCACAUGGAGAAGUGGCAUGCCAGCUGAGGCCAGUCGGGGAGGCCUGUCUCCGUGAUAAACACCUGCCCCUCAUCCUGCACGCUGGCUGUCCACGGGAUGAGUGGGGACCCGGGGGCCAACCAGGCUGGUUCCAGCCCUGGCUUCUCUCCUGACUCCCUUGGACGAGUCCCCUCCCUUCUUUGAGCCUCAGUUUCUCCAUCUGAACAAUGGAGUCCCGAUCCUGAGAUUGCAGGUCUGUUGGGAGACUCGGAUACAGCACCGGGUGGUCUGCGCGUGGCAUGGGGGGACUCGGGGGCCACUGCCCUGGCUGUGAUUCCUGCCUCACUCUGCCCAGCCCCAGGAGAGGUUCAGUGAAGCGCUACAAGCCCUUGGGGUUAGCAUGAGGUGUCCAGCCCCACAGCACAACAGAUGCUUUUUUUCUUUCACCUUCACCUUGUUUGGAGAAAAUAAUACUUCUAUGAACAUGCAUGCACAGGCUUUUAUGUGGAUGUGUGUCUUUAUUUUCUUCUUUUUAUAAUAAUAAUUAUUAUUUUAAUCAAAACAGAGCUGGAGUAAUGUCUUCGUUUUUCCUGGGUAGAUGCGUGGGAGUGAGAUUGCUGGGUCUCAUGGUAAUUCCAUGUUGGACAUUUUUAAAAACUCCCAAACUGGCUGGGUGUGGUGGCUCACAACUGUAAUCCCAGCACUUUGGGAGGCUGAGGCGGGUGGAUCACCUGAGGCCAGGAGUUCGAGACCAGCCUAGCCAACAUGGUGAAACCCUGUCUCUACUAAAAACACAAAAAUUAGCUGGGCAUGGUGAUGCGCAUCUGUAUUCCCAGCUAUUCGGGAAGCUGAGGCAGGAGAAUCGCUUGAACCUGGGAGGCGGAGGUUGCAAUAAGCCAAGAUCAUGCUACUGCACUCUAGCCUGGGUGACAGACUGAGACUCUGUCUCAAAAAGUAAAAGAAUUAAAAAAAUAAAAUUAGGCCAGGCGCAGUGGCUCACACCUGUAAUCCCAGCACUUUGGGAGGCCGAGGCGGGCGGAUCACGAGAUCAGGAGAUCAAGACCAUCCUGGCUAACAUGGUGAAACCCCAUCUCUACUAAAAACACAAAAAAUUAGCCGGGUGGCCGGGCGCGGUGGCUCAAGCCUGUAAUCCCAGCACUUUGGGAGGCCGAGACGGGCGAAUCACGAGGUCAGGAGAUCAAGACCAUCCUGGCUAACACGGUGAAACCCCGUCUCUACUAAAAAAUACAAAAAACUAGCCAGGCAAGGUGGCGGGUGCCUGUAGUCCCAGCUACUCGGGAGGCUGAGGCAGGAGAAUGGCGUAAACCCGGGAGGCAGAGCUUGCAGUGAGCUGAGAUCUGGCCACUGCACUCCAGCCUGGAUGACAGAGCCAGACUCCGUCUCAAAAAAAAAAAAAAAAAAAAAAAAAUUAGCCGGGUGUUGUGGCGGGCGCCUGUAGUCCCAGCUACUCAGCAGGACAAUGGAGUGAACCCGGGAGGCGCAGGUUGCAGUGAAUUGAGAUCGCACCACUGCACUCCAGCCUGGGCGACAGAUAGAGACUCUGUCUCAAAAAAUAAAUAAAAUAAAAUAAAAUAAAUAAAAUAAAAUAAAAUAAAAUAAAAUAAGCCAGGCAUGGUGGUGCACAUCUGUGGUCUCAGGUCCUCCAGAGGCUAACAUGGGAGGAUCGCUUGAGCCCAGGAGUUCGAGGCUGCAGUGAUCUGUGAUUGCACCACUGCACUCCAGCCUGGGCAACAGCAAGACCCAAUCUCAAAAUAAACAAAAAGAAAAGAAAAGACAAACUAUUUGUCAAAAUGGAUGCAACCUUUUUCCCUGCCUACCAGCAGUGUGCUAGAGUUCUGACUUUCCGAUUUCUCCUCCUCACCAAUACUUGCCAAUAUCUGUCUGCUUUAUUUUAGUCAUCCUAGCGGGUGUGAGGGGCCGUCUCAUUUUAAUUUGUGUUUUCCUGAUGGCUGACAGUAUUUUCAUGUGCUUAUGGGCCAUUUUUAUAUCAUCUUUGGAGAAAUGUCUAUUCGGAUCCUUUGCUUAUUUAAAAAAUUGGGCUAUGUGUUUCUUGGUUAUUGAGUUAUAAUCGUUCUUUAUAUAUUUUAGACAUAAAUGUCUUAUCAGAAAUCCGUUUUGCAAAAAUGUUCUCCCAUUUUGCAGGUGUUUUUUUCCCUUUCUCGAUGACAUCCUUUGAAGUACAAAAGCUUCUAAUUUUGACGAAGUCCAGUGUAUCUAUUUUUUUCUUUUUUCUCUUGUGACUUUCAUGCCAUGUCUAGGAAGGCUUGGUCUAAUUCAAGAUGACAAAGAUUUUCUCCUGUGUUUUGUUUUCAGAGCUUUAGAGCUUCAGCUCUCACAUUUAGUUCUGUGAUUUUGUUUUUCUUUUUUUUUUUUUUUUUUUUUUUUAUACAGGGUCUCACUGUAUCACCCAGGCUGGAGUGCAGUGGCACAGUAAUAGCUCACCCAUACCUGCCCACUUGCUGACCUCCGGGCUGUGAAUACUCAGUCUUGGGCCUCAAGUCAAGCCCACAAAGUGAAGGCUUCCUGGGAUCAGGUGAUCCUCCCACUUCAGCUUCCCGCGUGGCUAGAACUACAGGCGUGUGCCACCAUGCUCAGCUAAUUUUUAAUUUUUUUAUAAAGUCAGAGUCUUGCUAUAUUGCACGGACUGGAGUGCAGUGGCAUGAUCAUAGCUCACUGCAGCCUCAAACUCCAGGUCCCCAGCGAUCCUCCCACCUCAGCCUCCCAAGUAGCUGGGACCACAGGCACACACCACCACACCUCGCUACUUUUUAAGUUUUUUGUAAAGACAGAGUCUUGCUAUAUUGCCCAGGCUGGAGUACAGUAGCAUAAUCACAGCUCACUGCAGCCUCGGACUCCUGAGCUCCAGCGAUCCUCCCACCUCGGCCUCCCAAGUAGCUGGGACCACAGGCACACUCCACCACAUCUGGCUAUUUAUU